Molecule: ribosomal RNA, 484 nt
Filed under: uncultured bacterium
Lineage: Bacteria
Description: partial 16S ribosomal RNA
Rfam family: Bacterial small subunit ribosomal RNA
Source: RNAcentral
AUUGAACGCUGGCGGCAGGCCUAACACAUGCAAGUCGAGCGGAUGAAGGGAGCUUGCUCCUGGAUUCAGCGGCGGACGGGUGAGUAAUGCCUAGGAAUCUGCCUGGUAGUGGGGGAUAACGUCCGGAAACGGGCGCUAAUACCGCAUACGACCUGAGGGAGAAAGUGGGGGAUCUUCGGACCUCACGCUAUCAGAUGAGCCUAGGUCGGAUUAGCUAGUUGGUGGGGUAAAGGCCUACCAAGGCGACGAUCCGUAACUGGUCUGAGAGGAUGAUCAGUCACACUGGAACUGAGACACGGUCCAGACUCCUACGGGAGGCAGCAGAGGGGAAUAUUGGACAAUGGGCGAAAGCCUGAUCCAGCCAUGCCGCGUGUGUGAAGAAGGUCUUCGGAUUGUAAAGCACUUUAAGUUGGGAGGAAGGGCAGUAAGUUAAUACCUUGCUGUUUUGACGUUACCAACAGAAUAAGCACCGGCUAACUUCGUG